AGCACCUCAGAAGAAAAAAUCAUAAAAGAUGCAAAAUCUGAACAUAUUUGAAUAUUCCAAGUGGAAAUAUGCAGAUGUAGAAGAGCAUAAUAACCGAAACACAAAAUACUCAAAAUGAAUGUUCAAAGACCUGGAGAAUACUAAAGUUGUUUAGGAUGCACAAAAUCAAAAACUACUGAAGGUAAAGUUAAUCCCUGAUGAAGGCUCUUAUUAAUAAUAGAAUCAAAAAGAAAGAUAGCAAACAAAAACCAAACCUGAUGAUGGCAGCUAAAGUGUCGAAAAUGUUUGCAAUUGAUGAUAAAAGUAUGUGUUUACUACUGAGAAGUGCUAGAUUAUCAGUUUGUCAUAAAAAACCAAGCAUAAAAGGAAAACAAGAUAUCCAGCUAAAGAUACUGGUUAGGAGCAAUUCAACUAGAACAUAAAAAAAAUAGAACACUAGUUGCAAGCACACACAUUUUUUCCAGAAAAGAAGAUCAUAAGAAAUAUUGG
This 489-nucleotide long non-coding RNA is filed under the name Androctonus crassicauda. Lineage: Eukaryota; Metazoa; Arthropoda; Arachnida; Scorpiones; Buthidae. The record is from RNAcentral.